GACGAACGCUGGCGGCGUGCUUAACACAUGCAAGUCGAACGGAAAGGCCCUGCUUUUGUGGGGUGCUCGAGUGGCGAACGGGUGAGUAACACGUGAGUAACCUGCCCUUGACUUUGGGAUAACUUCAGGAAACUGGGGCUAAUACCGGAUAGGAGCUCCUGCUGCAUGGUGGGGGUUGGAAAGUUUCGGCGGUUGGGGAUGGACUCGCGGCUUAUCAGCUUGUUGGUGGGGUAGUGGCUUACCAAGGCUUUGACGGGUAGCCGGCCUGAGAGGGUGACCGGCCACAUUGGGACUAGGAUACGGCCCAGACUCCUACGGGAGGCAGCAGUGGGGAAUAUUGCACAAUGGGCGGAAGCCUGCUGCAGCAACGCCGCGUGCGGGAUGACGGCCUUCGGGUUGUAAACCGCUUUCGCCUGUGACGAAGCGUGAGUGACGGUAAUGGGUAAAGAAGCACCGGCUAACUACGUG
RNAcentral lists this ribosomal RNA (468 nucleotides) under uncultured bacterium. RNAcentral describes it as "partial 16S ribosomal RNA". It matches the Rfam family "Bacterial small subunit ribosomal RNA", at positions 28 to 507 of the family's 1533-position model. The record is from RNAcentral.